This 1295-nucleotide ribosomal RNA is filed under the name Klebsiella pneumoniae. Its description in RNAcentral is "bacterial SSU rRNA". It matches the Rfam family "Bacterial small subunit ribosomal RNA", at positions 113 to 1405 of the family's 1533-position model. The record is from RNAcentral. Lineage: Bacteria; Pseudomonadati; Pseudomonadota; Gammaproteobacteria; Enterobacterales; Enterobacteriaceae.
AUGUCUGGGAAACUGCCUGAUGGAGGGGGAUAACUACUGGAAACGGUAGCUAAUACCGCAUAAUGUCGCAAGACCAAAGUGGGGGACCUUCGGGCCUCAUGCCAUCAGAUGUGCCCAGAUGGGAUUAGCUAGUAGGUGGGGUAACGGCUCACCUAGGCGACGAUCCCUAGCUGGUCUGAGAGGAUGACCAGCCACACUGGAACUGAGACACGGUCCAGACUCCUACGGGAGGCAGCAGUGGGGAAUAUUGCACAAUGGGCGCAAGCCUGAUGCAGCCAUGCCGCGUGUGUGAAGAAGGCCUUCGGGUUGUAAAGCACUUUCAGCGGGGAGGAAGGCGAUAAGGUUAAUAACCUUGGCGAUUGACGUUACCCGCAGAAGAAGCACCGGCUAACUCCGUGCCAGCAGCCGCGGUAAUACGGAGGGUGCAAGCGUUAAUCGGAAUUACUGGGCGUAAAGCGCACGCAGGCGGUCUGUCAAGUCGGAUGUGAAAUCCCCGGGCUCAACCUGGGAACUGCAUUCGAAACUGGCAGGCUAGAGUCUUGUAGAGGGGGGUAGAAUUCCAGGUGUAGCGGUGAAAUGCGUAGAGAUCUGGAGGAAUACCGGUGGCGAAGGCGGCCCCCUGGACAAAGACUGACGCUCAGGUGCGAAAGCGUGGGGAGCAAACAGGAUUAGAUACCCUGGUAGUCCACGCCGUAAACGAUGUCGAUUUGGAGGUUGUGCCCUUGAGGCGUGGCUUCCGGAGCUAACGCGUUAAAUCGACCGCCUGGGGAGUACGGCCGCAAGGUUAAAACUCAAAUGAAUUGACGGGGGCCCGCACAAGCGGUGGAGCAUGUGGUUUAAUUCGAUGCAACGCGAAGAACCUUACCUGGUCUUGACAUCCACAGAACUUUCCAGAGAUGGAUUGGUGCCUUCGGGAACUGUGAGACAGGUGCUGCAUGGCUGUCGUCAGCUCGUGUUGUGAAAUGUUGGGUUAAGUCCCGCAACGAGCGCAACCCUUAUCCUUUGUUGCCAGCGGUUAGGCCGGGAACUCAAAGGAGACUGCCAGUGAUAAACUGGAGGAAGGUGGGGAUGACGUCAAGUCAUCAUGGCCCUUACGACCAGGGCUACACACGUGCUACAAUGGCAUAUACAAAGAGAAGCGACCUCGCGAGAGCAAGCGGACCUCAUAAAGUAUGUCGUAGUCCGGAUUGGAGUCUGCAACUCGACUCCAUGAAGUCGGAAUCGCUAGUAAUCGUAGAUCAGAAUGCUACGGUGAAUACGUUCCCGGGCCUUGUACACACCGCCCGUCACACCAU